AGGACAAUGCAAAUUUACAGACCAAUAAAUUAGGGGAUGAUUAGUCACGUUGCCAUCUUUCUUCAAAGGAUUCUUUAAAGGCUGAGCUCGUUCAUUUAAGUGUCUGUUUAGAGCUCAGUAACUUCCAGACUGAGAGGCUGGGAGGCCCCACCGAAGAGCAAGGGAAACUAAGAAGAUGCAGGGAAAAAGGCAGAGGCACCCCUUCCUUAACCAGCCUGGGGAUGAACGUCCCUGAAAGGUCAGCAGAGUUGUCUGGAUCGUGUUGAUUCAAAUGACGUUUGCCCAGUACCUACUAUAUGCUGGGUACAGUCUCGACACUGGAGAGGUGACCAGACAGGACCCCAGACCCUCAAGACGUUCACAGGGUGGGAGUGGUGGGGGGACAGUAACAGUGAUCAGAUUCAUACUGGUUUCCAGUAGACGAGAUGCAAUUUCCAGGCAACCUUUUCUGAGCACAACUACUGCCAAACGUCAGGGACAGUCCACGUGCACGAUGGUGGAAGGAAGGAUGAAUCGAUAAAGGAUGGGAUUUUUUUUUUUUAAAGGAAAACGAAUAUAAACGCCAUGGUUUGUCCGGCUUUCCCAAAGAACAAAUGCAGAGUUUGGCCUUCAUGGAAGUAAUUGCCCUAGAGUCCUUUGCUAUGUGACCUGGAUCAAGUCCCUCAGCACUCAGCACCUCGAGCACCAGUGACCGCAGGCAGACAGGAAGAGAUGAGCUCACGCCCUGAUCCCUGGCCCCUGGGAUCACUGAGGAAUCUCUUCCAAGGGUGAAGAGAGGCUUGCUGGAUCCCCGCCACCCACCACUCGAAGCCA
This 813-nucleotide long non-coding RNA is filed under the name Lynx pardinus (Iberian lynx). Lineage: Eukaryota; Metazoa; Chordata; Mammalia; Carnivora; Felidae. The record is from RNAcentral.